Molecule: ribosomal RNA, 565 nt
Filed under: Calliclopius nigripes
Lineage: Eukaryota; Metazoa; Arthropoda; Insecta; Hemiptera; Reduviidae
Description: partial 28S ribosomal RNA
Source: RNAcentral
UAAAUUUACCCCGGACCGUAGGGACAAGUACCCUGAGGGAAAGUUGAAAAGAAAUUUGAAGAGAGAGUUCAAGAGUACGUGAAACCGCUCAGGGGUAAACGGAAAAGACCUGAAUAUCCCAAAGGGGAGAUUCUCGUCUUACCCUAUAUUUUGCUGUGAAAUGCAUUAAGAUGGUUAUUCGCCCUGCCCAGUGUAAACUGUGGUGGUGGGUUUAAUUACUCGCAUUUAAAUUGUAAGAAUAAUGGUGGACCGCAUUUCUCCCUUAGUAGGACGUUGCGACCUGUUAAAUAAUACUCUAAGUAUAAUUAAAGUGCCUGUUUUAAAGUUGUACUUUUUUUUUUUUUUAAAAAAAAAAAGAAAAAUGGGUAUACUUUUUUCAGCUUUAAUUUAUAUACUGGGUAUUUAUAUAUUUAACAGUAAGAAAUGACGGUGUUGAGCCACUUAAGAUUGCUAAUUUAUUUAGUAAUUAAAAGUGUUUUUGUCCGUUUACAAGUGGGGUUGUUUUAUAUAGUAUUGUCGUACUUAAGUCCGUCUAUACUAUAUCUCCUACUGUUUGUAAACCGGA